GAUGAACGCUGGCGGCGUGCCUAACACAUGCAAGUCGAGCGAUUCUCUUCGGAGAAGAGCGGCGGACGGGUGAGUAACGCGUGGGUAACCUGCCUCAUACACAUGGAUAACAUACCGAAAGGUAUGCUAAUACAGGAUAACAUAAGAGAUUCGCAUGUUUCUCUUAUCAAAGCUCCGGCGGUAUGAGAUGGACCCGCGUCUGAUUAGCUAGUUGGUAAGGUAAUGGCUUACCAAGGCGACGAUCAGUAGCCGACCUGAGAGGGUGAUCGGCCACAUUGGAACUGAGACACGGUCCAAACUCCUACGGGAGGCAGCAGUGGGGAAUAUUGCACAAUGGGCGAAAGCCUGAUGCAGCAACGCCGCGUGAGUGAUGAAGGCCUUCGGGUCGUAAAACUCUGUCCUCAAGGAAGAUAAUGACGGUACYGAGAGAGACCCYGAUAAUUCCC
This 446-nucleotide ribosomal RNA is filed under the name uncultured bacterium. RNAcentral describes it as "bacterial SSU rRNA". It matches the Rfam family "Bacterial small subunit ribosomal RNA", at positions 28 to 505 of the family's 1533-position model. The record is from RNAcentral.